UGGGGAAUAUUGGACAAUGGGCGCAAGCCUGAUCCAGCCAUGCCGCGUGAGUGAUGAAGGCCUUAGGGUUGUAAAGCUCUUUCGCCGACGAAGAUAAUGACGGUAGUCGGAGAAGAAGCCCCGGCUAACUUCGUGCCAGCAGCCGCGGUAAUACGAAGGGGGCUAGCGUUGUUCGGAAUCACUGGGCGUAAAGCGCACGUAGGCGGAUUGUUAAGUCAGGGGUGAAAGCCUGGAGCUCAACUCCAGAACUGCCCUUGAUACUGGCAAUCUCGAGUCCGGAAGAGGUAAGUGGAACUGCGAGUGUAGAGGUGAAAUUCGUAGAUAUUCGCAAGAACACCAGUGGCGAAGGCGGCUUACUGGUCCGGUACUGACGCUGAGGUGCGAAAGCGUGGGGAGCAAACAGAAUUAGAUACCCUGGUAGUCCACGCCGUAAACGAUGGAGGCUAGCCGUUGGCGAGCAUGCUCGUCAGUGGCGCAGCUAACGCAUUAAGCCUCCCGCCUGGGGAGUACGGUCGCAAGAUUAAAACUCAAAGGAAUUGAC
RNAcentral lists this ribosomal RNA (541 nucleotides) under uncultured bacterium. RNAcentral's name for it is "partial 16S ribosomal RNA". It matches the Rfam family "Bacterial small subunit ribosomal RNA", at positions 355 to 914 of the family's 1533-position model. The record is from RNAcentral.